RNAcentral lists this long non-coding RNA (517 nucleotides) under Coturnix japonica (Japanese quail). RNAcentral describes it as "lncRNA (ENSCJPG00005015990.1)". Lineage: Eukaryota; Metazoa; Chordata; Aves; Galliformes; Phasianidae. The record is from RNAcentral.
CUUCAAUCUAAUAUUGAGAACUGUGCAAUAAGCUUUCUGAACGAUUUAUGCCAAUCAUCUUUUCAUUAUUUCUUCACCAAUAUUGGCAGUGGUAAUUCCUUGUAUGUUAAUGCAGUUUUUUUUUUCCCCCAUCCAUUUUAGAUGCAACUGAUAUGAAACAAACCACAAAGGGUCUCUUUAGGCCGCAUUUUCCAAUUAUAUUAAAACCCAGAAAGCUCUUCCAUUGACCGGGGACACCACAGGAACUCUUUUUGCUUUGAACAGAUGCAGUGCCCUUCCUCUUUCUCGCUGCUGUUUCCCACUGAGCAUCUGCUGGGUUGAGCUGGUUGGUGGCCAUGGGUAAGUCUGUUGGCCAUUUAGUGAAAACCUGCUCAUGAAAAGGUGUUUACUAGAUUAAAUGCACAUUAACUUUGAUUGCUUGCUGCCUUAUGCAAUGAUUUCAUUGUAGAAACACUACAGGAAACUGGGUUGGUUUUGUUGUCAGCUUUUGAUGUCUUCUGGAGUGUUUUUUUUUGUA